GCCGCCUUAGCUCAGUGGUAGAGCACUGGUCUCGUAAACCAGGGGUCGUGAGUUCAAACCUCACAGGCGGCA
This 72-nucleotide transfer RNA is filed under the name Amphibalanus amphitrite. RNAcentral's name for it is "tRNA-Thr". It matches the Rfam family "tRNA". Rfam says of the family: Transfer RNA (tRNA) molecules are approximately 80 nucleotides in length. The record is from Rfam by way of RNAcentral. Lineage: Eukaryota; Metazoa; Arthropoda; Thecostraca; Balanomorpha; Balanidae.